GAUGAACGCUGGCGGCGUGCCUAAUACAUGCAAGUCGAGCGAACAGAUGAGGAGCUUGCUCCUCUGACGUUAGCGGCGGACGGGUGAGUAACACGUGGAUAACCUACCUAUAAGACUGGGAUAACUUCGGGAAACCGGAGCUAAUACCGGAUAAUAUAUUGAACCGCAUGGUUCAAUAGUGAAAGACGGUUUUGCUGUCACUUAUAGAUGGAUCCGCGCCGCAUUAGCUAGUUGGUAAGGUAACGGCUUACCAAGGCAACGAUGCGUAGCCGACCUGAGAGGGUGAUCGGCCACACUGGAACUGAGACACGGUCCAGACUCCUAAGGGAGGCAGCAGUAGGGAAUCUUCCGCAAAGGGCGAAAGCUUGACGGAGCAACGCCGCGUGAGUGAUGAAGGCCUUCGGAUCGUAAAACUCUGUUAUUAGGGAAGAACAAAUGUGUAAGUAACUAUGCACGUCUUGACGGUACCUAAUCAGAAAGCCACGGCUAACUACGUG
Molecule: ribosomal RNA, 497 nt
Filed under: uncultured bacterium
Lineage: Bacteria
Description: partial 16S ribosomal RNA
Rfam family: Bacterial small subunit ribosomal RNA
Source: RNAcentral